AAAUUGAAGAGUUUGAUCAUGGCUCAGAUUGAACGCUGGCGGCAGGCCUAACACAUGCAAGUCGAACGGUAACAGGAAGCAGCUUGCUGCUUUGCUGACGAGUGGCGGACGGGUGAGUAAUGUCUGGGAAACUGCCUGAUGGAGGGGGAUAACUACUGGAAACGGUGGCUAAUACCGCAUAACGUCGCAAGACCAAAGAGGGGGACCUUCGGGCCUCUUGCCAUCAGAUGUGCCCAGAUGGGAUUAGCUUGUUGGUGAGGUAACGGCUCACCAAGGCGACGAUCCCUAGCUGGUCUGAGAGGAUGACCAGCCACACUGGAACUGAGACACGGUCCAGACUCCUACGGGAGGCAGCAGUGGGGAAUAUUGCACAAUGGGCGCAAGCCUGAUGCAGCCAUGCCGCGUGUAUGAAGAAGGCCUUCGGGUUGUAAAGUACUUUCAGCGGGGAGGAAGGUGUUGUGGUUAAUAACCACAGCAAUUGACGUUACCCGCAGAAGAAGCACCGGCUAACUCCGUGCCAGCAGCCGCGGUAAUACGGAGGAUGCAAGCGUUAAUCGGAAUUACUGGGCGUAAAGCGCACGCAGGCGGUCUGUCAAGUCGGAUGUGAAAUCCCCGGGCUCAACCUGGGAACUGCAUUCGAAACUGGCAGGCUUGAGUCUUGUAGAGGGGGGUAGAAUUCCAGGUGUAGCGGUGAAAUGCGUAGAGAUCUGGAGGAAUACCGGUGGCGAAGGCGGCCCCCUGGACAAAGACUGACGCUCAGGUGCGAAAGCGUGGGGAGCAAACAGGAUUAGAUACCCUGGUAGUCCACGCCGUAAACGAUGUCUACUUGGAGGUUGUGCCCUUGAGGCGUGGCUUCCGGAGCUAACGCGUUAAGUAGACCGCCUGGGGAGUACGGCCGCAAGGUUAAAACUCAAAUGAAUUGACGGGGGCCCGCACAAGCGGUGGAGCAUGUGGUUUAAUUCGAUGCAACGCGAAGAACCUUACCUGGUCUUGACAUCCACGGAACUUUCCAGAGAUGGAUUGGUGCCUUCGGGAACCGUG
This 1041-nucleotide ribosomal RNA is filed under the name Salmonella enterica. Its description in RNAcentral is "bacterial SSU rRNA". It matches the Rfam family "Bacterial small subunit ribosomal RNA", at positions 1 to 1031 of the family's 1533-position model. Lineage: Bacteria; Pseudomonadati; Pseudomonadota; Gammaproteobacteria; Enterobacterales; Enterobacteriaceae. The record is from RNAcentral.